GGGACACGUGGUAUCCUGUCUGAAUAUGGGGGGACCAUCCUCCAAGGCUAAAUACUCCUGACUGACCGAUAGUGAACCAGUACCGUGAGGGAAAGGCGAAAAGAACCCCGGCGAGGGGAGUGAAAAAGAACCUGAAACCGUGUACGUACAAGCAGUGGGAGCCUCUUAAUGGGGUGACUGCGUACCUUUUGUAUAAUGGGUCAGCGACUUAUAUUCUGUAGCAAGGUUAACCGAAUAGGGGAGCCGAAGGGAAACCGAGUCUUAACUGGGCGUUAAGUUGCAGGGUAUAGACCCGAAACCCGGUGAUCUAGCCAUGGGCAGGUUGAAGGUUGGGUAACACUAACUGGAGGACCGAACCGACUAAUGUUGAAAAAUUAGCGGAUGACUUGUGGCUGGGGGUGAAAGGCCAAUCAAACCGGGAGAUAGCUGGUUCUCCCCGAAAGCUAUUUAGGUAGCGCCUCGUGAAUUCAUCUCCGGGGGUAGAGCACUGUUUCGGCAAGGGGGUCAUCCCGACUUACCAACCCGAUGCAAACUGCGAAUACCGGAGAAUGUUAUCACGGGAGACACACGGCGGGUGCUAACGUCCGUCGUGAAGAGGGAAACAACCCAGACCGCCAGCUAAGGUCCCAAAGUCAUGGUUAAGUGGGAAACGAUGUGGGAAGGCCCAGACAGCCAGGAUGUUGGCUUAGAAGCAGCCAUCAUUUAAAGAAAGCGUAAUAGCUCACUGGUCGAGUCGGCCUGCGCGGAAGAUGUAACGGGGCUAAACCAUGCACCGAAGCUGCGGCAGCGACACUAUGUGUUGUUGGGUAGGGGAGCGUUCUGUAAGCCUGUGAAGGUGGCCUGUGAGGGUUGCUGGAGGUAUCAGAAGUGCGAAUGCUGACAUAAGUAACGAUAAAGCGGGUGAAAAGCCCGCUCGCCGGAAGACCAAGGGUUCCUGUCCAACGUUAAUCGGGGCAGGGUGAGUCGACCCCUAAGGCGAGGCCGAAAGGCGUAGUCGAUGGGAAACAGGUUAAUAUUCCUGUACUUGGUGUUACUGCGAAGGGGGGACGGAGAAGGCUAUGUUGGCCGGGCGACGGUUGUCCCGGUUUAAGCGUGUAGGCUGGUUUUCCAGGCAAAUCCGGAAAACC
Molecule: ribosomal RNA, 1127 nt
Filed under: Escherichia coli
Lineage: Bacteria; Pseudomonadati; Pseudomonadota; Gammaproteobacteria; Enterobacterales; Enterobacteriaceae
Also listed under: 2 other names
Description: partial 23S ribosomal RNA
Rfam family: Bacterial large subunit ribosomal RNA
Source: RNAcentral